This 1176-nucleotide long non-coding RNA is filed under the name Castor canadensis (American beaver). RNAcentral's name for it is "lncRNA (ENSCCNG00000028344.1)". Lineage: Eukaryota; Metazoa; Chordata; Mammalia; Rodentia; Castoridae. The record is from RNAcentral.
CAACUUGGUCUCGACAUCCCCCCUGGACUUGGGCAUUUUCUAGUCUGGAUUCAUAGAACUGGAGCCGAAAGGAAGCCUGAAACCAUCGCCUGCGGCUUUAAGUGGUCUGGGGUUUCUUGUAAGCAAAGGAUUUUAUCAAAGACAAUUUUAUACCAAUGUGGGGGCCAGUGGGGGCACUGUGGGAGCCCCGCUCACAUCAUCUGUCCUUUUUCCCCGUUUUCCUUCCUGGAAGGCCCAGAUCAAGCCCCAGGUUGCCCACUUGGAAGCUCAGAGAGGGACAGGCACGUGCUGGGGUUACACAGCCCUGGCAGAGGGAGAUGGGCUGAAGUCACUGGCCUCUAUGCCCAGCAGCCUACUAGGACAUCUGGGAACCAUGUGGGCCACAGACACCAACUGGGUUGGGGGCUCUUUACCUGUCUGGGGUCCAAAGGCAAACCUAACCCUGAUGUCCCCGGCUUGUGCCCACAAGGCCAUUCCCGGCUCAUCUGCCUCCCAGGUGUGGCCUGUGGCAUCUGUGAGGUAGCAUCACUAUUGUCCCUUUCCAGGGACUAUGGGGAGGGGCCCACAAGGGGAAAACGAAAAACGAGGACGACCACAGCAGCCGCCGCGAGGCACCAGGCAGCUGAGCCCGAGGGAGGCGGAGGGCCCAGGCCGCGCACAGCAGCCACUGUUUCCUGCUGCUCUGGAGGAAGUGCCGUCCUUUCUUCCUGCUUCCUCUUUCCCACAGUGAGGGGAGGUGGAGCCCGGGGGGCAGUGGCAUCAAGCUGCCUUGCCCAUGUUCCUUUGGCAGGGCCCUGUCUUGGCCUCAGUUUCCUCAGCUGCACCGCAGGGUGCCCUUCCUGCAGUUCCACCUGCUCUUGGCCAGACUCAGCACAAGGGCGUCCAGGGGCCGUAGCCUGUGUGCAGAGCCCUGGCCACUGUCCUCACGCGGCCGUGCUGUCUGGAGCCAGGAUGGAGGGCCAAGGCUGUGCCCACAGGCCAUGGCCUCCUCCCACAGGAGCGCAGGCCUGGGGCCUGACCUGGCCACAGGACUGGGCUGUACCUCCCUUCACCACCUUGCUGAAGGCCACCAAAUACUCCAUGCCAGGUGAGGGGCCUUGGGCCAAACUCUGGAGCUGCAGUGUCCCCAUCUAUACAGUGGUGGCCCUGGACAGUAGCCACAGGAAACUUUCCUGA